UAUCUAACUCGAGUGAGCGAAUGGUGUU
RNAcentral lists this non-coding RNA (28 nucleotides) under Homo sapiens (human). The record is from RNAcentral. Lineage: Eukaryota; Metazoa; Chordata; Mammalia; Primates; Hominidae.